Molecule: ribosomal RNA, 492 nt
Filed under: uncultured bacterium
Lineage: Bacteria
Description: partial 16S ribosomal RNA
Rfam family: Bacterial small subunit ribosomal RNA
Source: RNAcentral
AGUGAACGCUGGCGGUAGGCCUAACACAUGCAAGUCGAACGGCAGCACAGUAAGAGCUUGCUCUUACGGGUGGCGAGUGGCGGACGGGGGAGGAAUACAUCGGAAUCUACUUUUUCGUGGGGGAUAACGUAGGGAAACUUACGCUAAUACCGCAUACGACCUACGGGUGAAAGCAGGGGAUCUUCGGACCUUGCGCGAUUGAAUGAGCCGAUGUCGGAUUAGCUAGUUGGCGGGGUAAAGGCCCACCAAGGCGACGAUCCGUAGCUGGUCUGAGAGGAUGAUCAGCCACACUGGAACUGAGACACGGUCCAGACUCCUACGGGAGGCAGCAGUGGGGAAUAUUGGACAAUGGGCGCAAGCCUGAUCCAGCCAUACCGCGUGUGUGAAGAAGGCCUUCGGGUUGUAAAGCCCUUUUGUUGGGAAAGAAAAGCAGCAGGUUAAUACCCCGCUGUUCUGACGGUACCCAAAGAAUAAGCACCGGCUAACUUCGUG